CUAAAUCUUGUUUUUAAUGUCAAAUUAUAGACUGUCAAAAAGCAAAACUAUAAAUGUUGUAUUUGCCGAUUCAAAAUGCUGUUUAUUUAGGUUUUAGGUUAAAGUUUUUUUGUAUUAGUGCAAUUUUAAAGUAAUGGUCUCCUGUAUAAGGCUAUUAAUACGUUUACAGUUAGACAAAUGUUCUGUUUUACCGUUUCCUAAAAUGUGCAGUAAGACUGUUUUGCGUGUAUAAUCCAAACGCAGUUUGUUUCAUUUAAGUGCGUCUUCCUACAUGCUAAGUAUAUGCUUCAAUUAUUUGUUUUUGUGGUCACAAAUGUUUUUUUAUUUUUUUUAUAUAUCGUUUUGGGGUUGGGUGUUAAUCAGAUUUAAUUUUAGUGUCGCAAAGACAAAGAAGUGGUGUGGCUCACGUUAUAAUGUCAAACAAACUAUCCUUUUACGUAAGCAAUUGAUUCUUAUAAGAAAUUAGCGAAUUUUUGUUCUUUAUUUGCAUGUCUUAAAAGCAUAGUGGUCAGAAUCAUGAUUAGUUUUUUUAUAAUUUUUUUUUGAUUUGUUUUAUUUAAGUUUAAUAAACCGAUUAGAAACAAAAUGAAAAAAAAAAAACAAACAAAAUAAAAUGUGUUUUGCUAUGCUAACAAUUUUUUUUUCCAGCUCAAUCAUGUAUUUUCAAAAAUACACAAAAUUUAUAGAAAUCAUUGCCUGCUUCUAAACUUGAUGUCUGUGUAAUAAAGCUCUAAACUAAUAAAAUAAUAGAGCAAUAAGACUCAGCCAAAGUAAGUAAAAUUCAGUUUAACUAUUAUGUAGACAAGUGAAAUGUUUCAAGUUACAUUUUGUUUCUUUCUAAUCGUUUUUUGUUUUAGCCCUUGCAAUUUUUUUUUCUUCUCGAAUUCUUUAUUACAUGGUUUUUGUAUGUAUUUUCACACUUGAUUUUAUCCAAGUUAUGGUAACAAUUAUAUUAUUGCAUCAGAUAUUUCAUGUUUUCAAUAGUGUUAUAGUGUGCUGUUUGCUUGUUUAACUGAUUACAAUUUUAGUUAUAAAGUAUAAAGUAAAUGGUCAAUGCAAAUAAGAAUUAUGAAUGUCACUCCAGCGAUCAUUUUGUAAGCUACUUAGUAGUUAGAUGUGAAGCUUUUUAAUAUUUUGUUUUUCUUUUCUUAUUUUCUUUUCCCUUUAAUCAUUUCAUGUUUAGUGCAAUAAAAGACAAAGCGGAGGUCUUGCUUUUAUCAAGUAAAUAAUAAACUAACAGUUUAUAAAUGAGAAUGUCUUUACAUUGUGCAACAAAAAAUCAAUUGUUUUUUUUUUUUUUUUUGAAGUUUAAUGUUUGGCUUGCUUCUUUGCCAACAUUUGUUUUAGUAGUUCGUUAAAAUAUUUGACAAAAAAGCGAUAUUUUUAUAUACUGCAGAUAUUUUAAAUAAAUGUUUUUUCUCCUUAACUUUCAAAUUAUGGAAUAAUUAGACGGGAUCGAUCUGCAAAUGUAAGUUUAAUAAAAUGUUUCAAAGUACUUUUUGUUUUAUGCUGUUUGUUUUUGGUUUGGCGCUGUCAAUAUUUCAGUUUUAGCUCUAUGUGUCUUUGGCGUGGCUCUUGGUUUUACCUCAAGCGAAGGUAACAGAUUCAAAUUCGCAUCUGUUGAUUUAAGUUUUUAAUCCUAUUGAGGUGUGAUGCUUCUUUGCUUUAAUAGUUUCAAUUUUAGCUAUAAAGUAUAAGAUAAAGACUAGCUAUAGCUAUAAAGUAUAGAUGUAAAAUAUGGAAAAGAAACAUUAAACUCACUGAUUGCCAAAAUUUGUAAGCUUCUUUUUAAUUAUAUGUAAAACGUCAAUUGAUGAUUUUUUUGUUUUGUUUUUUGUUUUGAUUUUUAGUUGUUGUUUUUUUUUUUUUUUUUCUUUUUCCACUAACAAGUUCCUAUUUAGAGCAGUUUACAAACAUAGAACAGAGGUCUAGUGCACAUAUCGUGGUUUGUAAGCUAUUCACUUGAGGUCUUUUUAAAGCAAUGCAUGAUUUUCAAUUCUUGUACUACAAGUAUUAAAAGUAAUAAUUUCAAACAAUGUUUUUCUGUUUUGUUUUUUGCUAACAAUUUUAUUAUUAGCCCGAAGAACACUCUUAUUUAAAAAACCAAGUUCAAUCAUUGUGAACAGAAUAAACGAUCAGCUUUUAGUAAAGUACUUUCUUUUACCUAAAUCUUGUUUUUAAUGUCAAAUUAUAGACUGUCAAAGAGCAAAAUUAUAAAUGUUGUAUUUGCCGAUUCAAAAUGCUGUUUAUUUAGGUUUUAGGUUAAAGUUUUUUUGUAUUAGUGCAAUUUUAAAGUAAUGGUUUCCUGUAUAAGGCUAUUAAUACGUUUACAGUUAGACGAAUGUUCUGUUUUACUGUUUCUUAAAAUGUGCAGUAAGACUGGUAAUUUUGUUUUGUUCUUAUCAUUUUAUUGUUUUUGUUUUGUUUUUUUCACAUAAAGUUUUUUGCAUUAAACAAGAAAAUAUUGAUUGGUGGUCUGUUUAGUUUUGCGUGUAUAAUCCAAACGCAGUUUGUUUCAUUUAAGUGCGUCUUCCUACAUGCUAAGUAUAUGCUUCAAUUAUUUGUUUUUGUGGUCACAAAUGUUUUUUUAUUUUUUUUAUAUAUCGUUUUGGGGUUGGGUGUUAAUCAGAUUUAAUUUUAGUGUCGCAAAGACAAAGAAGUGGUGUGGCUCACGUUAUAAUGUCAAACAAACUAUCCUUUUACGUAAGCAAUUGAUUCUUAUAAGAAAUUAGCGAAUUUUUGUUCUUUAUUUGCAUGUCUUAAAAGCAUAGUGGUCAGAAUCAUGAUUAGUUUUUUUAUAAUUUUUUUUUGAUUUGUUUUAUUUAAGUUUAAUAAACCGAUUAGAAACAAAAUGAAAAAAAAAAAACAAACAAAAUAAAAUGUGUUUUGCUAUGCUAACAAUUUUUUUUUCCAGCUCAAUCAUGUAUUUUCAAAAAUACACAAAAUUUAUAGAAAUCAUUGCCUGCUUCUAAACUUGAUGUCUGUGUAAUAAAGCUCUAAACUAAUAAAAUAAUAGAGCAAUAAGACUCAGCCAAAGUAAGUAAAAUUCAGUUUAACUAUUAUGUAGACAAGUGAAAUGUUUCAAGUUACAUUUUGUUUCUUUCUAAUCGUUUUUUGUUUUAGCCCUUGCAAUUUUUUUUUCUUCUCGAAUUCUUUAUUACAUGGUUUUUGUAUGUAUUUUCACACUUGAUUUUAUCCAAGUUAUGGUAACAAUUAUAUUAUUGCAUCAGAUAUUUCAUGUUUUCAAUAGUGUUAUAGUGUGCUGUUUGCUUGUUUAACUGAUUACAAUUUUAGUUAUAAAGUAUAAAGUAAAUGGUCAAUGCAAAUAAGAAUUAUGAAUGUCACUCCAGCGAUCAUUUUGUAAGCUACUUAGUAGUUAGAUGUGAAGCUUUUUAAUAUUUUGUUUUUCUUUUCUUAUUUUCUUUUCCCUUUAAUCAUUUCAUGUUUAGUGCAAUAAAAGACAAAGCGGAGGUCUUGCUUUUAUCAAGUAAAUAAUAAACUAACAGUUUAUAAAUGAGAAUGUCUUUACAUUGUGCAACAAAAAAUCAAUUGUUUUUUUUUUUUUUUUUGAAGUUUAAUGUUUGGCUUGCUUCUUUGCCAACAUUUGUUUUAGUAGUUCGUUAAAAUAUUUGACAAAAAAGCGAUAUUUUUAUAUACUGCAGAUAUUUUAAAUAAAUGUUUUUUCUCCUUAACUUUCAAAUUAUGGAAUAAUUAGACGGGAUCGAUCUGCAAAUGUAAGUUUAAUAAAAUGUUUCAAAGUACUUUUUGUUUUAUGCUGUUUGUUUUUGGUUUGGCGCUGUCAAUAUUUUAGUUUUAGCUCUAUGUGUCUUUGGCGUGGCUCUUGGUUUUACCUCAAGCGAAGGUAACAGAUUCAAAUUGGCAUCUGUUGAUUUAAGUUUUCAAUCCUAUUGAGGUGUGAUGCUUCUUUGCUUUAAUAGUUUCAAUUUUAGCUAUAAAGUAUAAGAUAAAGACUAGCUAUAGCUAUAAAGUAUAGAUGUAAAAUAUGGAAAAGAAACAUUAAACUCACUGAUUGCCAAAAUUUGUAAGCUUCUUUUUAAUUAUAUGUAAAACGUCAAUUGAUGAUUUUUUUGUUUUGUUUUUUGUUUUGAUUUUUAGUUGUUGUUUUUUUUUUUUUUUUCUUUUUCCACUAACGAGUUCCUAUUUAGAGCAGUUUACAAACAUAGAACAGAGGUCUAGUGCACAUAUCGUGGUUUAUAAGCUAUUCACUUGAGGUCUUUUUAAAGCAAUGCAUGAUUUUCAAUUCUUGUACUACAAGUAUUAAAAGUAAUGAUUUCAAACAAUGUUUUUCUGUUUUGUUUUUUGCUAACAAUUUUAUUAUUAGCCCGAAGAACACUCUCUUUUAAAAAACCAAGUUCAAUCAUUGUGAACAGAAUAAACGAUCAGCUUUUAGUAAAUGCAAUUUUAAAGUAAUGGUCUCCUGUAUAAGGCUAUUAAUACGUUUACAGUUAGAC
Hydra vulgaris (swiftwater hydra) is the source of this 4472-nucleotide non-coding RNA. NCBI's taxonomy places the organism in Eukaryota, Metazoa, Cnidaria, Hydrozoa, Anthoathecata, Hydridae. The record is from RefSeq and is a predicted model, not a curated record.